Molecule: non-coding RNA, 253 nt
Filed under: uncultured bacterium
Lineage: Bacteria
Also listed under: 2 other names
Description: partial 16S ribosomal RNA
Rfam family: Bacterial small subunit ribosomal RNA
Source: RNAcentral
UACAGGGGGUGCAAACGUUGCUCGGAAUCAUUGGGCGUAAAGCGCACGUAGGCGGUUCGUUAUGUCGGAUGUGAAAGCCCUUGGCUUAACCGAGGAAGUGCAUCCGAAACUGGCGAGCUAGAGUACGAAAGAGGAUCGCGGAAUUCCCGGUGUAGAGGUGAAAUUCGUAGAUAUCGGGAGGAACACCGGUGGCGAAGGCGGCGAUCUGGGUCGAUACUGACGCUGAGGUGCGAAAGCGUGGGGAGCAAACAGG